RNAcentral lists this long non-coding RNA (208 nucleotides) under Manihot esculenta (cassava). RNAcentral's name for it is "long non-coding RNA (MESC_LNC007448)". Lineage: Eukaryota; Viridiplantae; Streptophyta; Magnoliopsida; Malpighiales; Euphorbiaceae. The record is from RNAcentral.
GACCUAAACUUGGAGAUCCACGAAAAUGAGCUCCUGAGUUCCCAAAGCUCCAAAACUUGGUUUAAAAGCUCAAAACCUUCAAUGCAAGCUUAAAACUCAAGAAAAAUGGUAGAGAUUUGGAGGAAGAACACAAGAGUUGAAAAAGGAAGGUCGGAAGCUUGCUGUGGCCGGAAAUGGGAGAAAGCUCGCCCAUUUCGGCUAAGUGCCC